RNAcentral lists this transfer RNA (85 nucleotides) under Stappia albiluteola. Its description in RNAcentral is "Stappia sp. F7233 tRNA-Leu". It matches the Rfam family "tRNA". Rfam says of the family: Transfer RNA (tRNA) molecules are approximately 80 nucleotides in length. Their secondary structure includes four short double-helical elements and three loops (D, anti-codon, and T loops). Further hydrogen bonds mediate the characteristic L-shaped molecular structure. tRNAs have two regions of fundamental functional importance: the anti-codon, which is responsible for specific mRNA codon recognition, and the 3' end, to which the tRNAs corresponding amino acid is attached (by aminoacyl-tRNA synthetases). tRNAs cope with the degeneracy of the genetic code in two manners: having more than one tRNA (with a specific anti-codon) for a particular amino acid; and 'wobble' base-pairing, i.e. permitting non-standard base-pairing at the 3rd anti-codon position. Lineage: Bacteria; Pseudomonadati; Pseudomonadota; Alphaproteobacteria; Hyphomicrobiales; Stappiaceae. The record is from RNAcentral.
GCGGACGUGGUGGAACUGGUAUACACAGCAGACUUAAAAUCUGCCGCCGCAAGGCAUACGGGUUCAAGUCCCGUCGUCCGCACCA